GUUCGAUCCUGGCUCAGAUUGAACGCUGGCGGGAUACUUUACACAUGCAAGUCGAACGGCAGCACGGACGCCGGUCUGGUGGCGAGUGGCGAACGGGUGAGUAAUGUAUCAGAACGUGCUAAUGCGGGGGAUAACUGCGCGAAAGCGUAGCUAAUACCGCAUACGCCCUUCGGGGAAAGCGGGGACCUUCGGGCCUCGCACUAUUAGAGCGGCCGAUAUCCGGAUUAGCUAGUUGGUGGGGUAACGGCUACGCCAAGGCGACGAUCCGUAGCUGGUUUUGAGAGGACGGCCAGCCACACUGGGACUGAGACACUGGCCAGACUCCUACGGGAGGCAGCAGUGGGGAAUUUUUGGACAAUCGCGGGGAAACCUGAUCCAGCCAUCCCGCGUGUGCGAUGAAGGCUUCCGGGUUGUAAAACUGCACGGCGGGAAAAACGGCACGGGAUAAUACCCGUGCAGCUGACGUACCUGCAGAAUAAGCACCGGCUAACUACGUGCCAGCAGCCGCGGGUGGCGCCACGUAGGGUGCAAGCCCGGUAAUCGGAAUUACCGGAGCGUAAAGCGUGCGCAGGCGGUUCGGAAAAGAAAGAUGUGAAAUCCCAGAGCUUAACUUUGGAACUGCAUUUUUAACUGCCGAGCUAGAGUGUGUCAGAGGAGGUGGAAUUCCCGCGUGUAGCAGUGAAAUGCGUGGGCUGCGGAGGAACACCGAUGGCGAAGGCAACUUCUGGGAUAACACUGACGCUCGCGCAUGCGGCAGUAGGAGCAAACGAAGUUAGAUACCUACGGUAGUCCACGCCUAAACGAUGUCAACUAGCUGUUGGGGCCUUCGGGCCUUGGUAGCGCAGCUAACGCGUGAAGUUGACCGCCUGGGGGAGGCUACGGUCGCAGAUUAAGCGAAAUUGACGGGGACCCGCACAAGCGGUGGAUGAUGGAUUAAUUCGAUGCAACGCGAAAAACCUUACCUACCCUUGACAUAUCUGAAUCCCGAAAAAGAAAUUUGGGAGUGCUCGCAAGAGAACCGGAACACAGGUGCUGCAUGGCUGUCGUCAAGCUCGUGUCGUGAGAUGGUGGGUUAAGUCCCGCAACGAAGCGCAACCCUUGUCAUUAGUUACCGAAAGGGCACUCUAAUGAGACUGCCGGUGACAAACCGGAGGAAAGACGAGGAUGACGUCAAGUCUCCUUGACGCCAUGGGUAGGGCUUCACGUCAGCCACAAUGGUCGGGACAGAGGGUCGCCAACCCGCGAGGGAGUUGUCAGAAACCCGAUCGUAGUCCGGAUCGCAGUCUGCAACUCGACUCGCGGCGGAAGUCGGAAUCGCUAGUAAUCGCGGAUCAGCAUGUCGCGGUGAAUACACGUUCCCGGGUCUUGUACGCACCGCCCGUCACACCAUGGGAGUGGGUUUUACCAGAAGUAGUUAGCCUAACCCGUAAGGGCGAUUACGGUAAGGAUUCAUGACUGGAGAUGAAGUCGUAACAAAGGUCU
This 1482-nucleotide ribosomal RNA is filed under the name uncultured Bordetella sp. Its description in RNAcentral is "partial 16S-23S ribosomal RNA intergenic spacer". It matches the Rfam family "Bacterial small subunit ribosomal RNA". The record is from RNAcentral. Lineage: Bacteria; Pseudomonadati; Pseudomonadota; Betaproteobacteria; Burkholderiales; Alcaligenaceae.